Molecule: ribosomal RNA, 253 nt
Filed under: uncultured bacterium
Lineage: Bacteria
Description: partial 16S ribosomal RNA
Rfam family: Bacterial small subunit ribosomal RNA
Source: RNAcentral
UACGUAGGCAGCGAGCGUUGUUCGGAAUUACUGGGCGUAAAGAGUGUGUAGGCGGUGCUCUAAGUUCGGUGUGAAAUCUCCUGGCUCAACUGGGAGGGUGCGCCGGAAACUGGAGUGCUUGAGCGUGGGAGAGGAAAGCGGAAUUCCUGGUGUAGCGGCGAAAUGCGUAGAUAUCAGGAGGAACACCUGUGGUGUAGACGGCUUUCUGGACCAUAGCUGACGCUGAGACACGAAAGCGUGGGUAGCAAACAGG